Molecule: unclassified non-coding RNA, 346 nt
Filed under: soil metagenome
Description: partial contains 5.8S ribosomal RNA, internal transcribed spacer 2, and large subunit ribosomal RNA
Rfam family: 5.8S ribosomal RNA (bases 1-120)
Source: RNAcentral
GAUGAAGAACGCAGCGAAAUGCGAUAAGUAAUGUGAAUUGCAGAAUUCCGUGAAUCAUCGAAUCUUUGAACGCACAUUGCGCCCCCUGGUAUUCCGGGGGGCAUGCCUGUCCGAGCGUCAUUGCUGCCCUCAAGCCCGGCUUGUGUGUUGGGUCUCGUCCCCCUUCCCGGGGGGACGGGCCCGAAAGGCAGCGGCGGCACCGUGUCCGGUCCUCGAGCGUAUGGGGCUUUGUCACCCGCUCUGUAGGCCCGGCCGGCGCUUGCCGAUCAACCAAAACUUUUUUCCAGGUUGACCUCGGAUCAGGUAGGGAUACCCGCUGAACUUAAGCAUAUCAAUAAGCGGAGGA